GAUGAAGAACGUAGCGAAAUGCGAUAAGUAGUGUGAAUUGCAGAAUUCAGUGAAUCAUCGAAUCUUUGAACGCACAUUGCGCCCUUUGGUAUUCCUUAGGGCAUGCCUGUUCGAGCGUCAUUUAAACCUUCAAGCUAAGCUUGGUGUUGGGUGACUGUCCGCUUCACGGCGGACUCGCCUCAAAAUUAUUGGCGGCCGGUACAUUGGCUUCGAGCGCAGCAGAAACGCGAACUCGGGCCCGUCGUAUUGGCUCCCCGAAGCUAUCUUCACAAUUUUGACCUCGGAUCAGGUAGGGAUACCCGCUGAACUUAAGCAUAUCAAUAAGCGGAGGA
Molecule: unclassified non-coding RNA, 332 nt
Filed under: soil metagenome
Description: partial contains 5.8S ribosomal RNA, internal transcribed spacer 2, and large subunit ribosomal RNA
Rfam family: 5.8S ribosomal RNA (bases 1-120)
Source: RNAcentral